AUUGCCCGCUUUCUUUCUUCCUAACACAUGCAAGUCGAACGGCAGCACAGUAAGAGCUUGCUCUUACGGGUGGCGAGUGGCGGACGGGUGAGGAAUACAUCGGAAUCUACUUUUUCGUGGGGGAUAACGUAGGGAAACUUACGCUAAUACCGCAUACGACCUACGGGUGAAAGCAGGGGAUCUUCGGACCUUGCGCGAUUGAAUGAGCCGAUGUCGGAUUAGCUAGUUGGCGGGGUAAAGGCCCACCAGGGCGACGAUCCGUAGCUGGUCUGAGAGGAUGAUCAGCCACACUGGAACUGAGACACGGUCCAGACUCCUACGGGAGGCAGCAGUGGGGAAUAUUGGACAAUGGGCGCAAGCCUGAUCCAGCCAUACCGCGUGGGUGAAGAAGGCCUUCGGGUUGUAAAGCCCUUUUGUUGGGAAAGAAAAGCAGCAGGUUAAUACCCCGCUGUUCUGACGGUACCCAAAGAAUAAGCACCGGCUAACUUCGUG
RNAcentral lists this ribosomal RNA (492 nucleotides) under uncultured bacterium. Its description in RNAcentral is "partial 16S ribosomal RNA". It matches the Rfam family "Bacterial small subunit ribosomal RNA", at positions 34 to 507 of the family's 1533-position model. The record is from RNAcentral.